GUGGCGAGCGGCGGACGGGUGAGUAAUGCCUAGGAAUCUGCCUGGUAGUGGGGGAUAACGCUCGGAAACGGACGCUAAUACCGCAUACGUCCUACGGGAGAAAGCAGGGGACCUUCGGGCCUUGCGCUAUCAGAUGAGCCUAGGUCGGAUUAGCUAGUUGGUGAGGUAAUGGCUCACCAAGGCGACGAUCCGUAACUGGUCUGAGAGGAUGAUCAGUCACACUGGAACUGAGACACGGUCCAGACUCCUACGGGAGGCAGCAGUGGGGAAUAUUGGACAAUGGGCGAAAGCCUGAUCCAGCCAUGCCGCGUGUGUGAAGAAGGUCUUCGGAUUGUAAAGCACUUUAAGUUGGGAGGAAGGGCAGUUACCUAAUACGUAUCUGUUUUGACGUUACCGACAGAAUAAGCACCGGCUAACUCUGUGCCAGCAGCCGCGGUAAUACAGAGGGUGCAAGCGUUAAUCGGAAUUACUGGGCGUAAAGCGCGCGUAGGUGGUUCGUUAAGUUGGAUGUGAAAUCCCCGGGCUCAACCUGGGAACUGCAUU
This 543-nucleotide ribosomal RNA is filed under the name Pseudomonas mandelii. RNAcentral's name for it is "bacterial SSU rRNA". It matches the Rfam family "Bacterial small subunit ribosomal RNA", at positions 88 to 627 of the family's 1533-position model. Lineage: Bacteria; Pseudomonadati; Pseudomonadota; Gammaproteobacteria; Pseudomonadales; Pseudomonadaceae. The record is from RNAcentral.